UGGGGAAUAUUGCGCAAUGGGGGGAACCCUGACGCAGCCAUGCCGCGUGAAUGAAGAAGGCCUUCGGGUUGUAAAGUUCUUUCGGUAUUGAGGAAGGUUGAUGUGUUAAUAGCACAUCAAAUUGACGUUAAAUACAGAAGAAGCACCGGCUAACUCCGUGCCAGCAGCCGCGGUAAUACGGAGGGUGCGAGCGUUAAUCGGAAUAACUGGGCGUAAAGGGCACGCAGGCGGUUAUUUAAGUGAGGUGUGAAAGCCCCGGGCUUAACCUGGGAAUUGCAUUUCAGACUGGGUAGCUAGAGUACUUUAGGGAGGGGUAGAAUUCCACGUGUAGCGGUGAAAUGCGUAGAGAUGUGGAGGAAUACCGAAGGCGAAGGCAGCCCCGUGGGAAUGUACUGACGCUCAUGUGCGAAAGCGUGGGGAGCAAACAGGAUUAGAUACCCUGGUAGUCCACGCUGUAAACGCUGUCGAUUUGGGGGUUGGGGUUUAACUCUGGCGCCCGUAGCUAACGUGAUAAAUCGACCGCCUGGGGAGUACGGCCGCAAGGUUA
RNAcentral lists this ribosomal RNA (547 nucleotides) under uncultured bacterium. RNAcentral describes it as "bacterial SSU rRNA". It matches the Rfam family "Bacterial small subunit ribosomal RNA", at positions 355 to 896 of the family's 1533-position model. The record is from RNAcentral.